CGAGGAUUUUGAGACUAGAAUGCUUGAAUUGUACUAGCAUACUGGCCCCCAAAUCUUCGCU
This 61-nucleotide microRNA precursor is filed under the name Caenorhabditis elegans. RNAcentral's name for it is "Cel-Mir-193-P1-v2_pre stem-loop". It matches the Rfam family "mir-240 microRNA precursor family", at positions 32 to 92 of the family's 99-position model. The record is from RNAcentral. Lineage: Eukaryota; Metazoa; Nematoda; Chromadorea; Rhabditida; Rhabditidae.